Molecule: ribosomal RNA, 491 nt
Filed under: uncultured bacterium
Lineage: Bacteria
Description: partial 16S ribosomal RNA
Rfam family: Bacterial small subunit ribosomal RNA
Source: RNAcentral
AGUGAACGCUGGCGGUAGGCCUAACACAUGCAAGUCGAACGGCAGCACAGUAAGAGCUUGCUCUUACGGGUGGCGAGUGGCGGACGGGUGAGGAAUACAUCGGAAUCUACUUUUUCGUGGGGGAUAACGUAGGGAAACUUACGCUAAUACCGCAUACGACCUACGGGUGAAAGCAGGGGAUCUUCGGACCUUGCGCGAUUGAAUGAGCCGAUGUCGGAUUAGCUAGUUGGCGGGGUAAAGGCCCACCAAGGCGACGAUCCGUAGCUGGUCUGAGAGGAUGAUCAGCACCACGGGACCUGAGACACGGUCCAGACUCCUACGGGAGGCAGCAGUGGGGAAUAUUGGACAAUGGGCGCAAGCCUGAUCCAGCCAUACCGCGUGGGUGAAGAAGGCCUUCGGGUUGUAAAGCCCUUUGUUGGGAAAGAAAAGCAGCAGGUUAAUACCCCGCUGUUCUGACGGUACCCAAAGAAUAAGCACCGGCUAACUUCGUG